GUCUCUACUAAAAAUACAAAAAAUUAGCCGGGCGUAGUGGCGGGCGCCUGUAGUCCCAGCUACUCGGGAGGCUGAGGCAGGAGAAUGGCGUGAACCCGAGAGGCGGAGCUUGCAGUGAGCCGAGAUUGCGCCACUGCACUCCAGCCUGGGCGACAGAGCGAGACUCCGUCUCAAAAAAAAAAAAAAAAAAAGAAAACCGCCAAAAAAAAAAAAAAGGAACAAAAUAUGCAAGAACUGUGGGAUCACAGUUUUUAUAAUCCCACAAGGAUUAUGGAGACAUAAUGGGAAUACUAAAAGCAGAAAGAAAGGAACAGAAGAAACACUUGACAUAAUAAUGACUUGGGAUUUUUCAAAACUAAAGACAGACACUGAGCCACAGAUUCAGGAAGCUCACAGAACACCCAGCAGGAUAAAUACUCUUAGUCCACCUCAAUAAUCUUGUAUGUGAGCUGGGAUGAAAGACUGCAAACCCCUCCUUGGUCUACUAGAUCACAGUUAAGCUAUGGCAAAGAGGAUUACUUGGUCUGGAGAAUGUAAAAAGGACUUGCUUCUACCUGCCAGCUUUAUCACAGCACUAUUUCUCCGUCCUAACAGGGAUCCUUGAUUCUAAUAGUAGCAUAGGGUUCCAUUUUGCAGUUUUUUUCAACCUGAUUUCCCUCACGAUGGCCCAUCAAAGUUCCCUCUGCCAGCCACCUAGUGCCCUACCGCCUUGAGUCUGAGGUUUCCAGAUACUUUCCUCUAAGCCACAAAGUUUUAGUAAUCCUAACUUCUGUUCAUCCUUCCAAUCCUAGGUGUAGAAACUGCUUCUUCAGUUAUUGCAAAAAUGCAAUGUCCAUUUUUGUUUAUUUUGCUUUUUUCCCUUAUAGUUUCUAAUGCCCUGGUAAACAAGAUAUUUUAUAAAAUUUUCUCUAUUAAAAUAAUCUUGACUGCUUUUGUGGAUAACUUUGUCACUUGCAAAAUUAUCCCAAACUGGUUGCCAAUAUAUGUAGUUAACCCAAAUUAUGCAUUAUCAACCAGAAACCACUGGGCUAACUUGGAGACUCCUUAGAGUUUAUUUAAGUUAGGACCCUAUUUUGCUUUGAUCUUACAGAUUUUGGUGGGAGGUGGGCUGGUCGUAGGGGGUGAAACAAUGCUCACCAAGUAAGUGGAAAGAUAAAAGUGCCACAGAUGCUGGGCACAAUGGCUCACACCUGUAAUCUCAGCUCUUUGGGAAGCCGAGGAGGGCAGAUUACUUGAGGUCAAGAGUUCAAGAUUAGCCUGGCAAACAUGGUGAAACCCUGUCUCUACAAAAAAUACAAAAAUUAGCAGGGUGUGGUAG
This 1318-nucleotide long non-coding RNA is filed under the name Homo sapiens (human). Its description in RNAcentral is "HSALNT0315982". The record is from RNAcentral. Lineage: Eukaryota; Metazoa; Chordata; Mammalia; Primates; Hominidae.